CAUACCGUCAAAGCCAUAGCUAUAAGUCUAUGGUCAAAGCAAAAACACAGCUGGUCGGUCUACGUCUCUGAACUUUGACGGUGCCGAUGGGAAGUCCAAAUGAUGCGGAAGUGUUACACUGUAGUUUGCGCACCGAAAUUCGCAUCGUUAUCGUCCGCCGCGUCUCGUGCAGCAUCUAAAUAUCCUGGCAUUUUUGUCAUUUGUGCCUAAUGCCCGCGGCCAGUUUGUGAUACCUCGUCCCGUGUCCUCGGUGUGGUGAUAAUCCGUAAUUCCUUCUCUCCUCUCGCUUAUUUCUCGGUUUUUCUCUCCCGUUUAUCCCUAAUCGGUUUUUUUUUCUUCUACUAUUUUAUGCGUUUGUGUUUACCUUCGGAACGGGACAAUCGGCAGUUUCUCUUCUCCCACACAAAGGAACCCUCAAGGCAUCUGCGCUGGCCUCUGUUCUUUGAUGAAUAUGACGAUAGAGUGAUGCUGGUCUCACCGUAGUUGAAAGCACGAAACCAGAACGUCCUCAGAGACGAACCUGCAAUCAAAGAUGGCGUCUACUAGCGGGCACAAAAGAAAUGGAUCCAGUUCCAGCAUGUUCGGUCACAAACGCACCGAAUCCGGCGGUGGCUUUAUUGGCCACAAACGUUCGGAAAGUGGCCACAAAAGAAACGAAAGCAUAUCAAGUGCGCUUGGCCAUAAACGGUCAGAAAGUGGUCACAAAAGGUCCGAAUCUGGCAGCAACUAUCACACGGGUCACAGGAGAAACGAAAGCAUGUACGCGAUGACUGGGCUCUACGCCGAAAGCACGGCUGCUGGAGAAGACGCGGAUUUGUCACAGCCAAGCAGCAGUAGACUGACACAUGACACAGUGAUCAGGUGUCACAGUAGGAAUCCAAGUUCCGGUAUUGUUGAUCACAGAGAUUUCAUCAUCAAAUGUCACAGCAGGAAUCCCAGUGCUUCCAUGGUCGACAGGACUGAAAAGGAAAGAGCGCAGACACCACCGAUUAAUCCAGAUUCAAAGGACUGUGGAAUUUUAACAUGCAGGCCAAUUUUUAUACAAAGAUUCGCAGGGAUAAAGGUGUUCGUAUUCCUUCUGUCAUUCCUUGUUACGCUGCAGCAGGCACUUAGCUCUGGUUACAUUAAUUCUGUAAUAACAACAAUAGAGAAAAGAUUUGAGAUACCGUCAAGCCUCUCAGGUCUGAUCGCCAGUUCAUACGAAAUUGGCAAUGUAAUAACGGUGAUAUUUGUAAGCUAUUUAGGCAGCCGACGGCAUAUUCCCGUUUGGAUAGCAAUUGGCGCCGUGAUAAUGGGCAUUGGCUCAAUGAUUUUUAUGGUGCCUCAUUUCACAGCCGAACCUAACUUAGGUACAGCAUCGAAUAACUCAAGUUCAGAUAACAUAUGCCGUGGUGUAUCGCUCCGCGAACAAGACAUGGGCUUAGGCCGACUUUCUACCGGUUUAUCAUCGCCGCCUUUAGCCCCACACAAUAAUCUUCGCGGUGACAACUGCAUACAAGGGUCUCCUUCUACCGCUGGUCCGGUGAUGCUUUUCGUACUUGCGCAACUGCUUCUUGGUUGUGGUGGUUCACCUUUGUUCACUCUCGGAACAACUUACAUUGAUGAUCACGUCAGGCCGGAGAGUGCCUCUUUGUACAUCGGCUGCAUGUACAGUAUGGCAGCUUUUGGACCUGUUCUUGGAUUUCUUCUCGGUGCUUAUUUAUUGUCUUUUCACAUGGAUUCGUUCGCCGGAACUAUCAUCAGCAUAGAUCCAGGCGAUCAUAGAUGGGUUGGAAUGUGGUGGGGUGGAUUUUUACUCUGCGGUUUGCUGCUGGUAUUAGUGGCAGUGCCGUUUUUCAGUUUUCCGAAAACUUUACAACGUGAGAAAGAGAAAAUUCGGAUAAUUGAAAAGAGCAAGCCAAUAACAGCAAAGGAGAAAGAGCAGAACAAAGAACCCAUGAAGGAACAAACAUCUGACAAUACCGCUUAUGGCAAAGACGUCAAAGACAUUCCACGGAGCAUGUGGAGACUGGUGUGCAAUCCUGUUUACGUGGUGACAUGUCUUGGUGCCUGCAUGGAGCUGGUAAUAGUUUCGGGCUUCGUUGUGUUUCUGCCAAAGUAUUUGGAGACGCAAUUCAGUUUGGGAAAAAGCCAGGCCAGCAUAUUCACUGGUUCAAUCGCGAUCCCCGGUGCUUGUAUCGGCAUAUUCUUUGGUGGCUGUCUACUGAAACGUUUGGAACUGAGGCCUAAGGGUGCUGUUCAAUUCGUCCUAGUCUCAAAUAUAAUCUGCCUUGUUUGUUACGGCCUUUUGUUUUUCCUCGGCUGUGACAAUGUCAAAAUGGCCGGCACCACCAUACCCUAUUUUAACAGCACGACCAAAGGGCCUGAACCAUUUCAAGUUAAUCUUACUGCCGCCUGCAACUUUGGGUGCGAAUGCCGAAUGACUGACGUUGAACCAGUUUGUGGCAACAAUGGCUUGACUUAUUUUAGCCCCUGCCACGCGGGUUGCACGGCAUUCAGCUCAAAGUCCAACUUUACCAACUGCGCGUGCAUUCACGGUAAUCUCAGCAUGGUGCCACCAGCUGCGCCGGAAUUCGCUGAAGUUACUGUUGUUCCCGUUGCUACGGCUGGCCCAUGCACCUCGCCUUGUAGGACUAUAUUUCCGUUUCUUAUUCUAUUAUUCUUCAUGACCUUCAUCGUCGCUGUAACACAGAUGCCUUUAUUAAUGAUCGUAUUACGAUCCGUCUCUGAAGAAGAGCGGUCCUUUGCUCUUGGAAUGCAAUUUGUCAUCUUCAGAUUGUUUGGGUAUAUACCAGCACCUAUAUUGUUUGGCAAUUUGAUAGAUUCAACGUGCAUUCUGUGGAAAAGUACUUGCGGUGAAAAAGGGGGCCGUUGUUUGCUUUAUGACAUUGAACAAUUCAGAUACAGAUACGUCGGACUUUGUGCCGGUAUAAAGAUUCUGGCGUUGGCACUAUUUUUGGUCGAUUGGUGGCUAGUGAGAAGGAGAAGACACCUCGAAGAACAUCCGCCACCAUUGACAGUCAACGAAGUUGUCGGAUCGAUAAUCAGCCUAGACAAAUUGUUUGAAGAAAGACCGCAACAUUUGAACACUGCUGAUGGUGACACAACUUCACCAAGCACCGAGGGGCCAACGCCAUCUUCGAUUUCGUCGCCCACCGAGCCAACAAAGUCUACAAAUCUUGAGGAAACGGAAUCAUCAAAUCACACCGAAGCGUCGAAUGACAUCAACAAUCCUCAAACAAAAGAUCCUUUUGACAUUCCUGACACAAGGCAAGCUCCGCUUGCCACAGAAGAUUUGGAGGUAGAGAUCAAGCGGCCGGACAGUACUGAUAAACUUCAUCCAAGUGUUUAAUGAGAGCUGGCAUUAGGAUAUUGAAUUUGAAUGUACAAUUCUCACAUGGCGAUUUCAAAAACAGUGUGGAAGGACCCCAACGUUAAUUUAUAUAUUGAAAAGAAAGGCGCUUGGCGGAGAGUUGCUGAAUAAUUUCUCGUGAAUUAAUGUCGCACUCCUCUACAAUAUAAAUGAAUUUAUAUAAAAGAAAGAGCAAAAAAAGACUUGCACCUAUAUCACUAGAAAUAAAUUUUUCAAAUUGACGCAUGGACAAAGUUUAUAAGUUUUAUCUCCUUGAACUCUGAAAUUGUCCAUUUUCCCGCGCAUGAAGAGAAAAAACGCCUUUUACAAGUAUUUCAAUAAACCCGUAAAAUUUCUAAGAAUUCUAAUAUUAAAAGAAAUGGUGUAACUGCCUACAUAUUUUUUUUUUUUUUUUUUUCCCUAUGAAUACUGAAUCUUUGCUCUGUUGAAGAUACAAUGAGCCCGCGUAAAACGUAAAUAAAAUUGAUAAUGUACAUAAAUACAUAUGUGUAUAUAUAUAUAUGUCGAACAUAUAAAAUUAUAUAUUCGAUAUAUGUACAUACAUAAAAAUUCCUGCCUUAAGAAAUAUAAGACUAGAAAAAUGAUUAAAUAAUGAAGUAAGACGUAUCUAACUCUUAUAGACACACACAUGGUAUAUGCGCUAAUCCGCGUUAUUUUUACCAAUUUUCGUUCCGCUUCUGAUUUUGAAUUUUUAUGUCAAUAUACGGCAGGCAGCUGGUCAAAAUCGGUAGCUGGUCAAAAUCACAUGGAAUAUCGCAUAUACGAUAUACAUAUAUAUACACACAAGACAUUUGUUACGAGCGUUUCUUACAGGUGUUGAAAAAAUGCACCAAGGUUAUACAGUUUAUGUUUUAGUAUAUCCUUUGUGGUACCUGCACCAAACUCUCGUAAAAAAAAAAAAAAAAUUAAAAAAGAUCUAUAUAAUAUAAAACAUAAA
RNAcentral lists this unclassified non-coding RNA (4310 nucleotides) under Neodiprion lecontei (redheaded pine sawfly). RNAcentral's name for it is "solute carrier organic anion transporter family member 3A1, transcript variant X1". The record is from RNAcentral. Lineage: Eukaryota; Metazoa; Arthropoda; Insecta; Hymenoptera; Diprionidae.